GACGAACGCUGGCGGCGUGCCUAAUACAUGCAAGUCGAGCGGACAGAUGGGAGCUUGCUCCCUGAUGUUAGCGGCGGACGGGUGAGUAACACGUGGGUAACCUGCCUGUAAGACUGGGAUAACUCCGGGAAACCGGGGCUAAUACCGGAUGCUUGUUUGAACCGCAUGGUUCAAACAUAAAAGGUGGCUUCGGCUACCACUUACAGAUGGACCCGCGGCGCAUUAGCUAGUUGGUGAGGUAAUGGCUCACCAAGGCAACGAUGCGUAGCCGACCUGAGAGGGUGAUCGGCCACACUGGGACUGAGACACGGCCCAGACUCCUACGGGAGGCAGCAGUAGGGAAUCUUCCGCAAUGGACGAAAGUCUGACGGAGCAACGCCGCGUGAGUGAUGAAGGUUUUCGGAUCGUAAAGCUCUGUUGUUAGGGAAGAACAAGUACCGUUCGAAUAGGGCGGUACCUUGACGGUACCUAACCAGAAAGCCACGGCUAACUACGUGCCAGCAGCCGCGGUAAUACGUAGGUGGCAAGCGUUGUCCGGAAUUAUUGGGCGUAAAGGGCUCGCAGGCGGUUUCUUAAGUCUGAUGUGAAAGCCCCCGGCUCAACCGGGGAGGGUCAUUGGAAACUGGGGAACUUGAGUGCAGAAAAGGAGAGUGGAAUUCCACGUGUAGCGGUGAAAAUGCGUAAAGAUGUGGAGGAACACCAGUGGCGAAGGCGACUCUCUGGUCUGUAACUGACCCUGAAGAACGAAACGUGGGGGGCGAAAGGAUUAAUACCCUGGUAUCCC
Molecule: ribosomal RNA, 784 nt
Filed under: Bacillus spizizenii
Lineage: Bacteria; Bacillati; Bacillota; Bacilli; Caryophanales; Bacillaceae
Description: bacterial SSU rRNA
Rfam family: Bacterial small subunit ribosomal RNA
Source: RNAcentral